UACGUAGGGGGCUAGCGUUGUCCGGAUUUAUUGGGCGUAAAGAGCGCGUAGGCGGCCGGCUAAGUCCGACGUGAAAUCUGGAGGCUCAACCUCCAGCGGUCGUUGGAAACUAGUCGGCUAGAGUCCGGAAGAGGAGAGUGGAAUUCCUGGUGUAGCGGUGAAAUGCGCAGAUAUCAGGAAGAACACCGAUGGCGAAAGCAGCUCUCUGGGACGGUACUGACGCUGAGGCGCGAAAGCGUGGGGAGCGAACAGGAUUAGAAACCCCCGUAGUCC
This 273-nucleotide ribosomal RNA is filed under the name uncultured bacterium. RNAcentral describes it as "partial 16S ribosomal RNA". It matches the Rfam family "Bacterial small subunit ribosomal RNA", at positions 524 to 796 of the family's 1533-position model. The record is from RNAcentral.